GGCGAGAUAGCCAAGUGGUCUACGGCGCACGGUUCAGGUCCUUGACCUCCGUGUCUCUUCGGGGGCGCGAGUUCGAAUCUCGCUCUCGUCA
Molecule: transfer RNA, 91 nt
Filed under: Ceratobasidium sp. AG-Ba
Lineage: Eukaryota; Fungi; Basidiomycota; Agaricomycetes; Cantharellales; Ceratobasidiaceae
Rfam family: tRNA
About the family: Transfer RNA (tRNA) molecules are approximately 80 nucleotides in length. Their secondary structure includes four short double-helical elements and three loops (D, anti-codon, and T loops). Further hydrogen bonds mediate the characteristic L-shaped molecular structure. tRNAs have two regions of fundamental functional importance: the anti-codon, which is responsible for specific mRNA codon recognition, and the 3' end, to which the tRNAs corresponding amino acid is attached (by aminoacyl-tRNA synthetases). tRNAs cope with the degeneracy of the genetic code in two manners: having more than one tRNA (with a specific anti-codon) for a particular amino acid; and 'wobble' base-pairing, i.e. permitting non-standard base-pairing at the 3rd anti-codon position.
Source: Rfam by way of RNAcentral